Drosophila melanogaster (fruit fly) is the source of this 774-nucleotide non-coding RNA. The record is from Ensembl. NCBI's taxonomy places the organism in Eukaryota, Metazoa, Arthropoda, Insecta, Diptera, Drosophilidae.
ACUCUGCCUCGCUCUGUCUCACUCGCUCGCCCGCAAAUCACCCCUGCAGAGCGAGUCAGCCAACUGACGAGCGAAAGAGAUCACAUCCGCCCGCCGACUCUUUUCCGCGGAAGUGCAAAUGUGGCAGAUUAAUAGCACAAUUGGAAAUAGCGUUCUGUCAGCUUGAGUUCACAAAGCAGCGGAUUUGGCCAGGAGGGCUGCCCUGCACCACCGCCUAAUGUCACCCCUCACCACCUCACACCGCUUACUACUGAGAUCUUUAUUAGCGCCAAGAGUUCUACGCGCUAUCGCCUGGCAUUUGGCAGGCGGCGAUUGCGAUAAGCAGACUCGAGCUGAAGCCACAGGAAUCCAAUCCAUUUGCCCCGGCCAUGCGAAUGCAAAUUGCGCGGCAUGCAGUGGAUGCAGCAGCUCUGGCAUUUUCCACAAGUUCACCCCACGGGUUAAUUGACAGUUUUUCUUGGGCACGAGCCAUGUUACUGCUCAUCGCUGGCCGGGAUCUCGGUCCUAGUCUUAGUCUCAGUUUCAGGUGUUGUUCUAGCCGGCCUGGAUGGAAUGCGUGUGUGUGGCCAGAAGCGAUUGCGUACUCCGUUUUCAUUAGCUGAGAUAGCUGAGUCGAGAUGUGGAAUGUGAACCCCUUCAGAAUAAGGCAAUGUUAUGAAAAUCCCAAAUCCUAUUUGCGAUAACUUGGAUAAUGCAUUACUACGCUUAGGAGAUUCGCUACUGGUCAGAGGAUAAUUAUAUCUAUAUUUCAUAAUAAAGGGUUACUAUAUCUCU